CGCAAUUCCCUCAGUCCCUUUGGAGGCUCAUAAAUAUCUCACCUUCUCCAACACGACUGAGCUGAGAAUGGACCAUUCCAAAGAGACACAGCCUAGAAGGAGCAAACACACAUGUUUCUUAAUGGGUUCACAGCCUUCACAGGAUUCCCACCCACUCAGCGUUCCAGGAAGCCUGUAGUCAUGGAAAUUACAUUCUUUUUAUUACCUUCAUGUCAAUAGAGGCUCCAGGAAACAAGAGCAUAUGGCCUCAGCGGGUCUCCCAUGUUGCUAAGGUCUUUAGCAGCUCUGGGCCCAUUGACCUCCCUGGGUUGCACAUUCCUGAUCUUUUCAGGUUUGGGGACAUGCCAUAGGCCUGGAUGUGCAAUUUCUGGGCACGAAGUAGCUAAGGAACAUUUCACCGGCACCUGAGCACCCAAUACAGCCGUCCCGAGGUGCAGAUCUCACAGCCUCAGAGUCGGGAGAGACCGAGGAGAGUUUGCAGUCCAACCCCAAGGACACGGAGGCCCAAGGAGGGGUGAGUGAAUCCCACCACCUGGAAGCCACAGGAGAGAGAAUUUUCUGCAGCUCCCACUGUCCCACCUCCUCACCCCACCUUGGCUGCACCCUCAACACAGGUAAAGAGGGCUGGACCAGAGUGUAGAGUGGCCCUCCCCCCACAUCCCUGCCAGGCCCCUUCCCUGGAGAAGAGGCUCGACUGCCGGGCCCAACCCUGGGGGGGUUUAGACUCAGGAGGGCUGACGUCAACAUCAACAUCAACAUCCUGCAGUGGCCUUGCAAGCAGGGCACGUCCCACGACUGGCUUGGGCCUCCUGGCUCCAGCUGCAAAGCACAGAAGACAGGUUGAUGCUUGUGGCCUUGUGGCCAGGAGACGGAGAGCGCCCUCUUGUCUGCUCUGGGCCUGUCCAGGAUGACAGUCGCCUGGCACGUAGUGGGUACGUAAGAGAAGCUUGUGAAAUUGGAUAGAAUAAAACUGAAUUUCAUAUUCCCCAUUUCUAUUUCAUUUAUUUGGCACCUACUGUUCCCCUCAAACCAGGCCCUGCUGCUCACUUUCUCUGUGCAGGCCUUGUCAAUUCUAACUCUCAUCUCUUUGCUCAGGCUGUGCCUGCUGCCUAGAAUGCCU
RNAcentral lists this long non-coding RNA (1120 nucleotides) under Equus caballus (horse). Its description in RNAcentral is "lncRNA (ENSECAG00000049676.1)". The record is from RNAcentral. Lineage: Eukaryota; Metazoa; Chordata; Mammalia; Perissodactyla; Equidae.